Molecule: ribosomal RNA, 506 nt
Filed under: uncultured bacterium
Lineage: Bacteria
Description: partial 16S ribosomal RNA
Rfam family: Bacterial small subunit ribosomal RNA
Source: RNAcentral
GAUGAACGCUAGCUACAGGCUUAACACAUGCAAGUCGGGGGGUAACGAGAGGAAAGCUUGCUUUCCUUGUCGACGACCGGCGCACGGGUGAGUAACGCGUAUCCAACCUGCCCCCAACUAGGGAAUAACCUUGCGAAAGUAAGACUAAUACCCUAUAAUUUCCUCAGAUGUCAUCUGACGAGGAAUAAAGAUUUAUCGGUUGUGGAUGGGGAUGCGUCUGAUUAGCUUGUUGGCGGGGUAACGGCCCACCAAGGCAACGAUCAGUAGGGGUUCAGAGAGGAAGGUCCCCCACAUUGGAACGGAGACACGGUCCAAACUCCUACGGGAGGCAGCAGUGAGGAAUAUUGGUCAAUGGGCGGAAGCCUGAACCAGCCAAGUAGCGUGCAGGAUGACGGCCCUAUUGUUUGUAAACUGCUUUUAUACAGGAAUAAAGUUAGCCACGUGUGGUUAUUUGUAGGUACUGUAUGAAUAAGGACCGGCUAAUUCCGUGCCAGCCGCCGCAGUAA